CUGCACCGCUGGGGGUGCCCGGCAGCGCCAAUGCUGCACGGGCUGAGACAGUCCCUUUGAACCUGAUUGAGAUCAUCCUCGCGCAGGGAAGCCCGCCCCUCAUUUC
Molecule: non-coding RNA, 106 nt
Filed under: Acidovorax carolinensis
Lineage: Bacteria; Pseudomonadati; Pseudomonadota; Betaproteobacteria; Burkholderiales; Comamonadaceae
Also listed under: 1 other name
Description: Acidovorax sp. NA3 TPP riboswitch aptamer (THI element)
Rfam family: TPP riboswitch aptamer (THI element)
About the family: Vitamin B(1) in its active form thiamin pyrophosphate (TPP) is an essential coenzyme that is synthesised by coupling of pyrimidine and thiazole moieties in bacteria. The previously detected thiamin-regulatory element, thi box was extended, resulting in a new, highly conserved RNA secondary structure, the THI element, which is widely distributed in eubacteria and also occurs in some archaea.
Source: Rfam by way of RNAcentral